RNAcentral lists this long non-coding RNA (1273 nucleotides) under Xyrichtys novacula (pearly razorfish). Lineage: Eukaryota; Metazoa; Chordata; Actinopteri; Labriformes; Labridae. The record is from RNAcentral.
CUCUUUCUUUUUUAUCUUCUUUUCUUUCUUUUCCUUCCCCAUUUUCCUGACUUGUUUCCUUCAUCACUUGCUUCCUCUCCUUCUUCGGUGUCCUUCCCUCCUCCCCCCACUUUUUAUUCCCUUCCUUUAUCACAUUAUCUUUACCUUUCCUUUACUUCUCCUCUCCUCCUUCCUCCCACUCUCCACUCCAUCUGUCCUUCACCGCUGCCUCCUUUCCUUCCUCAGACUCCUCUGUCCUUACCCUGAUUUUAGUUUAAGCUUCCUCCUCAUUUCUCCUUUCUUUAACCUUCUUCACCUCCUUUUACUCGUUUAUUUUAAUCCUUUUCGUUUCCUGUCCUCCUCCUCUUCCUCUUCCUCUCCACGCAGGGAUGUAAAGCAAACUUAAAACAGGAAGCAGAUGAUAAUAAUAUAAUAAUGAUGUUGUAAGAUGAGCCUGUAUUGAUUCUGGGUGUUGAAAUCAGGUCAGUGAAGCAGCAGAAAUUAGAGUCCGAGAGGAGAAGAAACCAGGAAGUCAAAUAUGCAGAAGCAGCAAUUUCAGAGCGAUAAGAGCGCGUUAGGAUGAAUGUAUGAAUGAAGACGACUCUGCAGAGGGAUAUAUAUUUGGUUUCUAUCUAACAAAGUUCCAUUUCAAUGUGCAAUGUGGCCAAAAAAUGAGAUUCCUCUUCCACAGGAGUGAGGAAAGUGGUGCUGAAAGCCUCUUUCAGAGUGUUAGAUGAUGAGGAAGAGGAGGAGGAGGAGGAGGAGGAGGAGGAGAGUGGUGUUAUGUGGUCAGGAAAUACAUCUUUGGCUCUUUGGCGGAGAGAGAAAACGACGGAGAGCCGAGAGGACAGAGAGAGUUUGGUGUAAUUGGUAUUAGGCAGACUGUCAGGCAGGAGGUGGGUGGGUGGGAGGUGAUGUAUGGAUGGAGGAGAUGUUGAAGAAGUGAACAGAGACUGUGGAGGAUGCUCAAAACCUGCUGCUUCAAACAGCCUGUGAUGAAGAUUAGGAGGAAGUGAUGGUGCGGGCCGAGGCGUCGCCAAAAAAACAACUGAAGUGAAAAACAUCAAAAAGUCUGAACUUCUUUAGAUGGUGACCGUCCGUCUGCAGGAGAUUCAACUUCACCUGUGAUGUGAGAGACUUCAUAACUCCGCCUCUUUUUGGAUAACCCCACCUACUUUAGAGCUAUUCUGUGAUUGGACGAUCACUGUGUCUCUCCCUCUUUCAUCCCUCUGCUGCUUUAGUUGUGGAAAACCUCAUUAUUGUUCAUUUCAGACAUUUCUCUCUUUCUAACAGG